GACGAACGCUGGCGGCGUGCUUAACACAUGCAAGUCGAACGGAAAGGCCCUGCUUUUGUGGGGUGCUCGAGUGGCGAACGGGUGAGUAACACGUGAGUAACCUGCCCUUGACUUUGGGAUAACUUCAGGAAACUGGGGCUAAUACCGGAUAGGAGCUCCUGCUGCAUGGUGGGGGUUGGAAAGUUUCGGCGGUUGGGGAGGGACUCGCGGCUUGUCCGCUGGUUGGUGGGGUAGGGGCUGACCAAGGCUUGGACGGGUAGCCGGCCUGGGGGGGGGACCGGGGGCGGUGGGAGGGGGGGACGGGCCGGACGGCUAGGGGGGGCAGCGGGGGGGAGGAGUGCACGAUGGGCGGAAGCCUGAUGCAGGAACGCCGCGGGCGGGAUGACGGCCUGCGGGUUGUAAACCGCUUUCGCCUGUGACGAAGCGUGAGUGACGGUAAUGGGUAAAGAAGCACCGGCUAACUACGUG
This 468-nucleotide ribosomal RNA is filed under the name uncultured bacterium. RNAcentral describes it as "partial 16S ribosomal RNA". It matches the Rfam family "Bacterial small subunit ribosomal RNA", at positions 28 to 507 of the family's 1533-position model. The record is from RNAcentral.